Molecule: long non-coding RNA, 862 nt
Organism: Chionomys nivalis (European snow vole)
Lineage: Eukaryota; Metazoa; Chordata; Mammalia; Rodentia; Cricetidae
Exons: 3
Source: RefSeq, a predicted model, not a curated record
CCCGAACCUACUCCGAAGGGCGCAACCCGCCCAGCCGGUGGUUGGCCCCAGAGUGCGAGGGGGCGUUGGGUUUAGGGGUGGAGAGAGGAGCGCAUAGCCCUGAGAUCUUCAGUGCGCCCGGGAAUUCCAGCGGGCUACGGGCGCUCUGACCCGGCUUGCCCGGCCCUUCUCGGAGCAUGGAGUGGGAAACAGAAUCCUGGAUUCGAUAGGCUCGGCCUAGGUUGACAGGACGGAACUCCUGCUCCCUCAACCUGCAGCCACACAGCAACCCAUAGGUAUCAGUCCCAUGCCGGAUGAGGAAACCGAGACUCCGAGAUGUUAGCUGGUGAACUGGGGAAGCUAAUGACAUCAAGUGGCGAGCCAUCCUUACCUCCAGGGAGCUGUAUUAGUCUUUGCCCUCAGAGGUCCCUAUUAUUAAGGUUCUGAGCUGCAGCUGGGGCCACUUGAUGAGACCAAAAUCAAUUCACUUGGUCUUCUUCAAAACUGUUUUGUCCAGAGAUAAACUGCUCCAGACCACAGAGUGUACCUCCAAGAUUCAGAGACCAUUUUUCUAGGCACCACCGCGUCUCACUGAAUCCUGAGUUUGCUGAUUCAGCUAGUCUAAAUAAAGAAGCUUGCCCCAGGAAUCCCUCAUCUCUGCUCCCAAGUGGUGGUUCAUUAUUAGGCCACAGUGCCUACCCAGCUCUUCUGUGGGUCCUGGAGAUCCAAACUCCAGUCCUCAUGCUUUGGCAGCAAACGCUUGCCUUCACUGAGCUCACUCUCUAGCACAUGCUUAUUUUAUUUUAUUUUUUUUUUGCAGAAAUGCAUGUGUGUAUCUAGUUAUCAAAAGAAUAGUUAAGUUUUAAUAAAAGUUGGGACUGGA